CAGCAGUUGGAUUGACACUUUUUAUUUACACACCACAUCAUACUAGAUUGUGACCUAUUGGACGUAAUAUUCUGUGUGGAUUCCCAAGAAGAUUUCCGGAUAAAGAAAAGAUAAAAGAUUGGAUUCAUAUUUUGACAAACGAUAGGUCAUUCUUUCGAAGAAUCAACCCGGACGAUACCAUGUUUCAAUGAAAUAUGCUCCAAGGCAUAAAAUAAUGACCUGUGUGAGAUCACCAGGCCAAACCAAAAACGAAGUGGAAGAACAUUGACACUCAAAACGCCCAAUAGUUGUACCAAAAACGGCUUAGGCUAGUAUAUCGUAACGUUCAGGUAAACAAGUCGUAAUUAAAAUUGGUUGACCGAUAUGGAAUAACUUGUCAGCCGCAUAUGACCGCGAAUAUUAAUAUUAAACGUAAUCCCAGCACUGCUCUCGUUCAUUCAUUUAUGACAUCUACGCUAGCCAAGGAUAACCACAUUGUACUUACCAUGGAUGAUAAUAGAUAUGUUUAUAUGGGAGCUUAAUUGCUCCCUCCUCGGAAACACUUACGUUCACACUUUUUUUGGUGAGUUUCAUGAUUCUCAUUUUCCAGUUUUCUGUUUACUUGUAUAAUGUUUCGAUUAUUUUUAGCCAUGCUGUUAUUCGACAUUUUUUUAUUUAUUUCCAACUUGGUGUCUCUUAUUUGUUUGUUUUGAGAAGAUUCUUUAACUCCCAACUUCAUAAUACCGGUAUUAAGGAUGACAAAACAAUAUAAAAAGUAAACACUAUUUAAUCAUAUAACAUACUAUAAAGAAGGUCACCAACUCAAGAUACUGGUCCGUACAUGUACCUGACACAACACAAGAAAAAAAAACAUUAUUGCUCAUUGUAUCAGGUCCGUUAAACAUUAUAUUCACAUCUAAAUGCAAGAUAAAGAUAGCCUAUAUCUCUGGUUUGAACGGGAUUGCUUGUUAAAGAAAGAUCACGCGUCAUAUGUUCAUUAAAAACUACAAUUUGGAUAAUCGACUGUUUCUAAUCGAGUACCUCUGGUGAGUCAAAUGUAUACGAAACGCGUGUACUAAAUGAUAUCCCGGUAUAUUUUAUGAAUUUUUACAGGACAUAAUAUUUAUAGGAAAAAUAUUUCGCACGCACUGCUAAUAACUGACAAACAAACAAGCCAAAAAAAAAACUAACUAAAUAGGUACACAUAAAAAACGGAUACAUAAAAGGAUGACCAACAUCGUGGCAGAAGUGAACCGAAAAGCCGUUUUAAAAAUCCUUAUUGGAAGUUUUUCAGGUCAAUAAUUUACCUAAAUGUUUAAAAUUAACAUAUGUUGCAUUCAAAGGCAAUGUACAUAAUAAUGUAUUAUAUAAGAGAGGCUAAAGAUAUAAAAGGGACAUUCAAACUCAUAUCAUUAGUGGAAAACAACUCACAAUAUAUGCCAUGGCAAAAAACGAAAGACGAUCAAAAGACAUAGAAAAUGCAACAUAGAAAUCCUAAGACUGAGCAUCACGAACCCCAUCAAAAACCUGUAGGUAGGCAAUCUUGCUCCACAUUUGGCAUCUGUCGUGUUGCUAAUGUAAAUUAGAAAAAAAGGAUGAUAAGUCUAUUUUGUAGGUUCCAUUCUAGGAAAAGAGGACGUGAUGGUGGUUACGUUGAUUGGAACAUAUCCGUUGUCAUCUGUGAAACAGAU
Long non-coding RNA from Mytilus californianus (California mussel), 1670 nucleotides. RefSeq lists it as uncharacterized. NCBI's taxonomy places the organism in Eukaryota, Metazoa, Mollusca, Bivalvia, Mytilida, Mytilidae. The transcript is spliced from 3 exons. The record is from RefSeq and is a predicted model, not a curated record.